This 350-nucleotide unclassified non-coding RNA is filed under the name soil metagenome. Its description in RNAcentral is "partial contains 5.8S ribosomal RNA, internal transcribed spacer 2, and large subunit ribosomal RNA". The stretch from base 1 to 120 matches the Rfam family "5.8S ribosomal RNA", at positions 35 to 154 of the family's 154-position model. The record is from RNAcentral.
GAUGAAGAACGUAGCGAAAUGCGAUAAGUAAUGUGAAUUGCAGAAUUCAGUGAAUCAUCGAAUCUUUGAACGCACAUUGCGCCCGCCAGUAUUCUGGCGGGCAUGCCUGUUCGAGCGUCAUUUCAACCCUCAAGCCCAGCUCGGUGUUGGGGAUCGGCACAGGCGCCCUCGGGCGCCCGCCGUCCCCUAAAUCUAGUGGCGGUCCCGCUGCAGCCUCCUCUGCGUAGUAGUUUUCUCCUCGCAAGGGCAGCUCGGUGGCGACCUCGCCGUAAAACCCCCAACUUCUGAAAGGUUGACCUCGAAUCAGGUAGGAAUACCCGCUGAACUUAAGCAUAUCAAUAAGCGGAGGA